Molecule: ribosomal RNA, 465 nt
Filed under: uncultured bacterium
Lineage: Bacteria
Description: partial 16S ribosomal RNA
Rfam family: Bacterial small subunit ribosomal RNA
Source: RNAcentral
AACGAACGCUGGCGGCAUGCCUAACACAUGCAAGUCGCACGGGUCGGCCUCGUCCGGUCGGUGACGGGCGGGUGAGGAACGCGUAGGUACCUGUCCGCUGGUGGGUGAUAACCGCGGGAAACUCCAACUAAGACCGCUGUCGUCGCCGCUAUGAGUUCCGGUGUCAGGGUCGCGCAUCGCUGGAGUUGUGUCGCCGUGGGGUGGGCCUGCGUCCGAUUAGCUUUUUGGCGGGGGAGUGGCCCACCAAGGCGUCGAUCGGUAGCUGGUCUGAGAGGAUGAUCAGCCACACUGGGACUGAGACACGGCCCAGACUCCGACGGGAGGCAGCAGUGGGGAAUAUUGGACAAUGGGCGAAAGCCUGAUCCAGCAAUGCCGCGUGAGUGAAGAAGGUCUUAGGAUUGUAAAGCCCUUUGGGCCGGGACGAUAGUGACGGUACCGGGAGAAGAAGCUCCGGCUAACUCCGUG